GAUGAAGAACGCAGCGAAAUGCGAUAAGUAGUGUGAAUUGCAGAAUUCAGUGAAUCAUCGAAUCUUUGAACGCACAUUGCGCCCCUUGGUAUUCCGAGGGGCAUGCCUGUUCGAGCGUCAUUACACCACUCAAGCACUGCUUGGUAUUGGGCACUCGUCCGUCGAAAGACGGGCGUGCCUCGAAGACCUCGGCGGGGUUUCUCCAACUUCGGGCGUAGUAGAGUUAAAUCAAAACGUCUUAUAAGCUUGGUGAGAUCUCAUUGCCGUUAAACCUUUUUUUUUCAGGUUGACCUCGGAUCAGGUAGGGAUACCCGCUGAACUUAAGCAUAUCAAUAAGCGGAGGA
RNAcentral lists this unclassified non-coding RNA (344 nucleotides) under soil metagenome. RNAcentral describes it as "partial contains 5.8S ribosomal RNA, internal transcribed spacer 2, and large subunit ribosomal RNA". The stretch from base 1 to 120 matches the Rfam family "5.8S ribosomal RNA", at positions 35 to 154 of the family's 154-position model. The record is from RNAcentral.